GGCUGUAGCUAAGUGGUAGAGUGCUUGUCUAGCAUGUGGGAGGCACUGGGUUCGAUUCUCAGCACCA
This 67-nucleotide transfer RNA is filed under the name Marmota monax (woodchuck). RNAcentral describes it as "tRNA.Ala". Lineage: Eukaryota; Metazoa; Chordata; Mammalia; Rodentia; Sciuridae. The record is from RNAcentral.